Molecule: ribosomal RNA, 195 nt
Filed under: uncultured bacterium
Lineage: Bacteria
Description: partial 16S ribosomal RNA
Rfam family: Bacterial small subunit ribosomal RNA
Source: RNAcentral
CCUACGGGAGGCAGCAGUAGGGAAUCUUCGGCAAUGGGGGCAACCCUGACCGAGCAACGCCGCGUGAGUGAAGAAGGUUUUCGGAUCGUAAAACUCUGUUGUUAGAGAAGAACGUUAAGUAGAGUGGAAAAUUACUUAAGUGACGGUAUCUAACCAGAAAGUGACGGCUAACUACGUGCCAGCAGCCGCGGUAAU